This 359-nucleotide RNase P RNA is filed under the name Gammaproteobacteria bacterium. Its description in RNAcentral is "RNase P RNA component class A". It matches the Rfam family "Bacterial RNase P class A". From Rfam's summary of the family: Ribonuclease P (RNase P) is a ubiquitous endoribonuclease, found in archaea, bacteria and eukarya as well as chloroplasts and mitochondria. Its best characterised activity is the generation of mature 5'-ends of tRNAs by cleaving the 5'-leader elements of precursor-tRNAs. Cellular RNase Ps are ribonucleoproteins. Lineage: Bacteria; Pseudomonadati; Pseudomonadota; Gammaproteobacteria. The record is from RNAcentral.
GGAGUUGGCCAGGCAGCCGCUGCCCGCCCACGUACGCGUGGCCGGGUGGAGGAAAGUCCGGGCUCCGCAGGGCAGGGUGCCAGGUAACACCUGGGCGGCGCGAGCCGAUGGAAAGCGCCACAGAAAAUAUACCGCCGAAGCUCGCAAGAGCUGGUAAGGGUGAAAUGGUGCGGUAAGAGCGCACCGCACGGGUGGCAACAUUCCGUGGCAGGGCAAGCCCCACCCGGAGUAAGGCCAAAUAGGGGAACCAUAGUGCGGCCCGCACUGUUCCCGGGUAGGCCGCAUGAGGCGUUUGGUGACAGACGCCCCAGAUGAAUGGCUGUCCACGACAGAACCCGGCUUACCGGCCAACUCCUUUU